This 1172-nucleotide long non-coding RNA is filed under the name Eucalyptus grandis. Its description in RNAcentral is "long non-coding RNA (EGRA_LNC003059)". The record is from RNAcentral. Lineage: Eukaryota; Viridiplantae; Streptophyta; Magnoliopsida; Myrtales; Myrtaceae.
UCUAAAUGCGUGUGGAAACAGUUUCAAUUCUCUUCAAAAAUUAAUAUGCAAAAGCAGCGGCAUAAUGUUAGUAAUGUUAAAUCUGCUUUAAAAGGUACCUGGAAUACAGUUCAAUUUGAUCCAUUUCCUGGUGUUCUAUAAAGAGUUUAGUUUUCCUGUUUAGUCUUUAUAUGAAGGUAAUUUGCCUUACCUCCUAGCCUAAAGUCUUAAACUUCCAAUAGAUUAUUAACGUUUUUCUCCCUCAUCGUUUAUAUCCCAUGGACCCCAUCAUUCAGCUGCUCUGCAAUUGAUGUAAUUGGGUGAUACUCCAUACUCACCAAAAUGAUAUUGCAAACACAUUGUGAUUUGGAGCUUUAAGGAUGCAAGUCCAAGGGAUGUUCAUGAGAUGUGGGAUGAUUUCCGCAAGGCCUUGAACUUGCAGAUGCCACGAAUCAAUUCGUUGUUUUCAUUUGAUGUUAAUACUUUCUUCUUUGACCAGAUAAAGAGAGUCGACAAUUGAAAAUCAUCAUUGUUAUCCAUGUUAUCUCUUUCUUUUCUGUUGAGGAGCAUGAUUCCCUUCUCUUCAUGUUUUGCAUGAUCUACAAUAAUUACCCGAUUCUGUUUGUGAUGCAUUGAAAUAUGUAUUCAUUAGUACUCUUUCAGAAGGAAAAAAAAUGGCCAGAUGCCUCAGAAUGGGGCAAAGGUGAGUAUAUUAGAUGCCAGAAUAUCAGGGGUAACAGGUCGGAUUUUGUUUCAUAAUAGAUAAAAGCUUCACCGAAAAUACAAAACUAUCUAUUGAGUUUUCAGCUUUGUGCUUCACAGAAGUUGUGAGUGUGUCCAUUCAUUUGGAAAAUCCAUAAUUGACCUUGACCAGUUAUGUUCUUGAGAUUUUCCUAGCUCUAGCACUGUGCUCUAAGUACUUAAUAAUGACUCAUAAGUACGAGAACUUCAUGCAAAAGGUGAGGGCAAUUAACCGAGUUACAUGGAUCCCUCAGGAUAUUCCUUUAUGCUUACAUUUUCUUAUGAAGUUUUCAUUACUUAGCCAGUUGUUCGUUCUACUUGCUGAUAGAUUUUCUAAUGAAGUUUUCAUUAACCAGCCGACCACGUUCUUGAUAUUGCUGUGUAUUUACUGCCUCCUUUUAGCAUGAGGUUAUGGAAAUAACGAAUUCAAUAACAGAUUCAUUGUUUUUCUU